UGGUAGAUGGUUCAAGUAGAGGAGCUUUACUCUCUAAUUGCAUAUAUAUCAUUGUCUUAGUGUACAAAUUUGGAUGGUGAUAGCAUCCACAUAGAUAAAUACGGAGGAAUCUCCCACCAAGGCAUAAACGAUUGGUAAGGUGUUCGGAGCCUAAAAUCCUCCCUAUUGCCUUUCUAACUGUCUUGAUAGCUUUAAAAAUUAUAACUAAUGCUCUUUCUCAGCCUUUAGUUAGCCGGCAUUACUAUUUAUAAGAAGUUAUGCCAGUGCUCCUAAAGUUUUCAUUAUAAAAAAGUGGGAUUCAUAAUAGAUACGGUAUGAGCAAGAGACCGUUCAGGAAUUUGAUGUGGACCAUUUUUAUUUGUAAAUGUGGUUUUAGUUGGAUAAAGCAACCAGCUACUUCUGGCGCUCUUAGCAAAUUGAGGCAGUUUUACAUGAAGAUGAUGCAUAAUUAUAGGCUUCUUUUACGGUACCUUUUACCACUCCUAAGAAGUAGAGAGGUAUGAUUUGAGGAAGGGUCAGGAUUGACCGAUUUAGAUUAGGCCCGACAGCCUAGUAAGACGUUGAAAAUGAGAAGAAAAAAGAAACAACUAGCAGUAUUUGGCCCGGCCCAAUAAUUGGAUAACAGAGUUUAGGCCUAAGCUCGAUCGUGAGAAACGCGACACCCCGUCUCUGGGUCAGGGGCGACCGCCGCCGGCACCGACACCCGUCUGCGUCGAAGGCGACCGCCGCCUGCAUCGCCGGCGAGAAAAGCCGACACCAGGUCACCCCUGUCCUCCAUCGCGGGCAACUGCCGCCGCCAGCAGAUCGGGCAGUCCUGCGUCGCUGGCGAGCUAUGCCGUCACCAUGUCGACAACGCCACGACAUCAAGGCUGCCACCAGUUCUACGCAGCCACAACAUCCAGAGAUGCCGCCAGUGGCAUUAUCUUCCUCAGAGAUGCGGACAUGCCAGCGCCAGGCCGAAGCUCCAUGGCUGCACCAUCAGCGAAGGUGUCGACAUAGUGGAGUGGUCUGCAGUUCCUGUAACUUUACUGUUUCCAGAGCUACCAAGUUGACAAUCGCGAGCUGCUCCAUAUUGUGGUGAGGCGGCAACAUGCUGCGGGAUGGCUGGCGACGAUCGUCUGGAGGGCAAUAACAAGCUACGGGGAGGCCGGUGACGAGCUGUGUGAGGCCGCCGACAUGCUGCGGGGAGGCUGCCAACGAUCUGCUGGAGGUGGCAACAACAUGCUGGAGGCUGGCCAGGAGCUUCUGUAGUCAAGAGUGAGCUGGCUUCAUGUCUUGCUCUGUUUUGACCCGUGAGGGCUAGCGCAGCUGACGUGCAACGUAUUACAUGGUGGCAAAGUAUUGAACAAAAUGUUGCAUGCAAUCCUAUGUAACAACAAUGGCUAGUUCUGAAACUUCACCUAUAUGAUGGCUGUAUUAAAUAUGCGGACACAUGAAGAUAAACCAUUUUUCUAA
Non-coding RNA from Lolium perenne, 1455 nucleotides. NCBI's taxonomy places the organism in Eukaryota, Viridiplantae, Streptophyta, Magnoliopsida, Poales, Poaceae. The record is from RefSeq and is a predicted model, not a curated record.